AUGUCACAUGCUAUCCUGAGAAGAAACUCCAGCAAGCAAGGUUUGCAGAACCUCUUGAAAAUAACCACCCAGAGGAGCGUGGAGGAUGCAGAGGAGGUGGAGCGAGAGCGUCGGCGGAGGGCCCGGGAAUCCUUCCGCAGUAUGGGCAGCAGCAGUACCUUGGGCCCUGGAGGCCCCUCACUGGACAAUGGGGCCUUGGCGGAGGAUGGCUUGUAUGAGAGGGAUCUGAAGCCCAGCAGCAGCUCUCCCUCUAUGGAGGAGGACGAGGGCUUCAGUGACUGGACCCAGCGGCUGGAGAGACGCAGGCAGCAGGCCCAGCGCAUGGAGGAGCUCAGUCAGGCCACAGAGGAGCAGGACCAGAGGCCCCUGAAUGGUGCCGCAAAGCCCCCCACACCACAUACCCUCUCUGGCUCAGCCACCCCCACCACAUCCACCUCUCGCCAGCAGAGACACAGGGCAGAAGUGGAGGAUGAAGAGGAGAAGAAGUGGGGAAGAAAGGAAAGUGAGAGGAAAGGGAGGGAGCGAGAGGAGGAGGUGGUUAGAGAAGAGAGGGAAAGAGAAGAGGAGGCAGAGAAACAGAGGCAGGAGCAGAUGAGAGUGCUGAAGAAGAGAGAGGAGGACCAAAGAUCUGAUGCUGGGGAGAAGGUGAAAGAGAAGCGCAAAGAGGUGAAGGUCUCGUACACAUCCAAAGUCGUCCUCCAUACAGAGGCAAAGCAUGGCAACGUCAACGGAGACACAGCUGGGGAGAAAGUGACAUCAUACAUGGUCAAAACCAAAUUAAGGGCUCCCAGGGCUGUGGUACAAAUGGCAGCUGCAGAGGCUGAGGAGGAGGCCAUCUUGGAGACAGAGGCCAAGCUGGAGAAGAUCCGACGGAGCCAUGCGGAGAAGGAAAACCAGGAGCUUGAGCAGCUCAAACACAAGCAGGCUGAAGCCGAGCAGGAGCUAGAGGAGCUGAAGAGGAGGAGGGAGGAGAGACGCCAGGUCAGGAAGGAGGAGGAGCGCAGGAGCAGAGAGGAGGAGCAACAGCGUCUAGCCAAGGAGGAGGUGAUGGUCAAAUACUUUGUAGACAUAUUAUGA
This 1077-nucleotide long non-coding RNA is filed under the name Oncorhynchus kisutch (coho salmon). RNAcentral's name for it is "lncRNA (ENSOKIG00005033165.1)". Lineage: Eukaryota; Metazoa; Chordata; Actinopteri; Salmoniformes; Salmonidae. The record is from RNAcentral.